AUUGAACGCUGGCGGCAGGCCUAACACAUGCAAGUCGAACGGUAACAGGAAGCAGCUUGCUGCUUUGCUGACGAGUGGCGGACGGGUGAGUAAUGUCUGGGAAACUGCCUGAUGGAGGGGGAUAACUACUGGAAACGGUAGCUAAUACCGCAUAACGUCGCAAGACCAAAGAGGGGGACCUUCGGGCCUCUUGCCAUCGGAUGUGCCCAGAUGGGAUUAGCUAGUAGGUGGGGUAACGGCUCACCUAGGCGACGAUCCCUAGCUGGUCUGAGAGGAUGACCAGCCACACUGGAACUGAGACACGGUCCAGACUCCUACGGGAGGCAGCAGUGGGGAAUAUUGCACAAUGGGCGCAAGCCUGAUGCAGCCAUGCCGCGUGUAUGAAGAAGGCCUUCGGGUUGUAAAGUACUUUCAGCGGGGAGGUAGGGAGUAAAGUUAAUACCUUUGCUCAUUGACGUUACCCGCAGAAGAAGCACCGGCUAACUCCGUG
This 490-nucleotide ribosomal RNA is filed under the name uncultured bacterium. RNAcentral's name for it is "partial 16S ribosomal RNA". It matches the Rfam family "Bacterial small subunit ribosomal RNA", at positions 30 to 507 of the family's 1533-position model. The record is from RNAcentral.